UUACUGAUUUGCUUAAUUGCACCACAUGUGUUUUUCAUUGAACAACUGCUUUGGCGGGGGGACACCCUAGUCUCGCCGCCGAGGUCACAACUAAACAAAACUUUUUAUUACCAGUCAAACGAUUAUACUAAUAGUCAAAACUUUCAACAACGGAUCUCUUGGUUCUCGCAUCGUAAAAACGCACCAUUCACAACGGAUCUCUUGGUUCUGGCAUCGAUGAAGAACGCAGC
Molecule: unclassified non-coding RNA, 230 nt
Filed under: uncultured Candida
Lineage: Eukaryota; Fungi; Ascomycota; Saccharomycetes; Saccharomycetales
Description: sequence contains ITS1
Rfam family: 5.8S ribosomal RNA (bases 182-230)
Source: RNAcentral